RNAcentral lists this ribosomal RNA (480 nucleotides) under uncultured bacterium. RNAcentral describes it as "SSU rRNA". It matches the Rfam family "Bacterial small subunit ribosomal RNA", at positions 26 to 518 of the family's 1533-position model. The record is from RNAcentral.
AGGACGAACGCUGGCGGCGUGCUUAACACAUGCAAGUCGAGCGGUAAGGCUCCUUCGGGAGUACACGAGCGGCGAACGGGUGAGUAACACGUGAGCAAUCUGCCCUUCACAUUGGAAUAACUUCGGGAAACCGAAGCUAAUACCGAAUACGACCACCGAUGGCAUCAUCUGGUGGUGGAAAGUUCCGGCGGUGAAGGAUGAGCUCGCGGCCUAUCAGCUUGUUAGUGGGGUCAUGGCCCACCAAGGCGACGACGGGUAGCCGGCCUGAGAGGGUGACCGGGCCACGACUGGGACUGAGACACGGCCCAGACUCCUACGGGAGGCAGCAGUGGGGGAAUAUUGGACAAUGGGCGAAAGCCUGAUCCAGCAACGCCGCGUGAGGGAUGACGGCCUUCGGGUUGUAACCUCUUUCACCCACGACGAAGCGAAAGUGACGGUAGUGGGAGAAGAAGCACCGGCCAACUACGUGCCAGCAGCCGC